AGCGAACGUUAGCGGCGGGCUUAACACAUGCAAGUCGAACGCGAAAGGGAUUCGUCCCCAGUAGCGUGGCGUCCGGGUGAGUAACACGUAGGAAACCUUGCCUAGAGUGGGGGAUAACGUCCCGAAAGGGACGCUAAUACCGCAUAAGCCCACGUCGGCCUCGACCGAUGCGGGAAAAGAUGGCCUCUGAAUUCAAGCUAUCGCUCAAGGAUGGUCCUGCGGCGCAUCAGCUAGUUGGUGGGUAACGGCCUACCAAGGCGAAGACGCGUAGCUGGUCUGAGAGGAUGAUCAGCCACACUGGCACUGAAACACGGGCCAGACUCCUACGGGAGGCAGCAGUGGGGAAUAUUGGACAAUGGGCGUAAGCCUGAUCCAGCCACGCCGCGUGAGUGAUGAAGGCC
RNAcentral lists this ribosomal RNA (401 nucleotides) under uncultured bacterium. RNAcentral's name for it is "bacterial SSU rRNA". It matches the Rfam family "Bacterial small subunit ribosomal RNA", at positions 29 to 416 of the family's 1533-position model. The record is from RNAcentral.